CCAGCGGUAGGCCGUGGGCGGACGCCGCUUCGCGGGUGGCGGUGAGCAGUCGCGCGAGCGCGGCGGGUUCGACGCCCAUCCGCAGCCC
RNAcentral lists this transfer RNA (88 nucleotides) under Saccharopolyspora thermophila. RNAcentral's name for it is "tRNA-Ala". Lineage: Bacteria; Bacillati; Actinomycetota; Actinomycetes; Pseudonocardiales; Pseudonocardiaceae. The record is from RNAcentral.